This 324-nucleotide ribosomal RNA is filed under the name Copepoda sp. DC-2019. RNAcentral describes it as "SSU rRNA". It matches the Rfam family "Eukaryotic small subunit ribosomal RNA", at positions 1300 to 1648 of the family's 1831-position model. Lineage: Eukaryota; Metazoa; Arthropoda; Copepoda. The record is from RNAcentral.
GGUGGAGUGAUUUGUCUGGUUAAUUCCGAUAACGAACGAGACUCUGUCCUGCUAAAUAGUUUCAACGUCUUUUACGCGUUGAAAUUUCUUCUUAGAGGGACUGGCGGCGUCUAGCCGCACGAGAUUGAGCAAUAACAGGUCUGUGAUGCCCUUAGAUGUUCUGGGCUGCACGCGCGCUACACUGAAGGGCUCAGCGUGUUUUCCCUUUUCGAGAGAAACGGGUAACCCGCUGAAUUCCCUUCGUGGUAGGGAUCGGGGCUUGCAAUUAUUCCCCGUGAACCAGGAAUUCCCAGUAAGCGCAAGUCAUAAGCUUGCGUUGAUUAC